This 468-nucleotide ribosomal RNA is filed under the name uncultured bacterium. RNAcentral describes it as "partial 16S ribosomal RNA". It matches the Rfam family "Bacterial small subunit ribosomal RNA", at positions 28 to 507 of the family's 1533-position model. The record is from RNAcentral.
GACGAACGCUGGCGGCGUGCUUAACACAUGCAAGUCGAACGGAAAGGCCCUGCUUUUGUGGGGUGCUCGAGGGGCGAACGGGUGAGUAACACGUGAGUAACCUGCCCUUGACUUUGGGAUAACUUCAGGAAACUGGGGCUAAUACCGGAUAGGAGCUCCUGCUGCAUGGUGGGGGUUGGAAAGUUUCGGCGGUUGGGGAUGGACUCGCGGCUUAUCAGCUUGUUGGUGGGGUAGUGGCUUACCAAGGCUUUGACGGGUAGCCGGCCUGAGAGGGUGACCGGCCACAUUGGGCCUGAGGUACGGCCCAGACUCCUACGUGAGGCAGAAGUGGGGAAUAUUGCACAAUGGGCGGAAGCCUGAUGCAGCAACGCCGCGUGCGGGAUGACGGCCUUCGGGUUGUAAACCGCUUUCGCCUGUGACGAAGCGUGAGUGACGGUAAUGGGUAAAGAAGCACCGGCUAACUACGUG